GACGAACGCUGGCGGCGUGCUUAACACAUGCAAGUCGAACGGAAAGGCCCUGCUUUUGUGGGGUGCUCGAGUGGCGAACGGGUGAGUAACACGUGAGUAACCUGCCCUUGACUUUGGGAUAACUUCAGGAAACUGGGGCUAAUACCGGAUAGGAGCUCCUGCUGCAUGGUGGGGGUUGGAACGUUUCGGCGGUUGGGGAUGGACUCGCGGCUUAUCAGCUUGUUGGUGGGGUAGUGGCUUACCAAGGCUUUGACGGGUAGCCGGCCUGAGAGGGUGACCGGCCACAUUGGGACUGAGAGACGGCCCAGACUCCUACGGGAGACAGCAGUGGGGAAUAUUGCACAAUGAGCGGAAGCCUGAUGCAGCAACGCCGCGGGCGGGAUGACGGCCUUCGGGUUGUAAACCGCUUUCGCCUGUGACGAAGCGUGAGUGACGGUAAUGGGUGAAGAAGCACCGGCUAACUACGUG
Molecule: ribosomal RNA, 468 nt
Filed under: uncultured bacterium
Lineage: Bacteria
Description: partial 16S ribosomal RNA
Rfam family: Bacterial small subunit ribosomal RNA
Source: RNAcentral